This 429-nucleotide ribosomal RNA is filed under the name Bacteroidota bacterium. RNAcentral's name for it is "Bacteroidetes bacterium partial 16S ribosomal RNA". It matches the Rfam family "Bacterial small subunit ribosomal RNA", at positions 355 to 776 of the family's 1533-position model. Lineage: Bacteria; Pseudomonadati; Bacteroidota. The record is from RNAcentral.
UAGGGAAUCUUCGGCAAUGGGGGGAACCCUGACCGAGCAACGCCGCGUGAGUGAAGAAGGUUUUCGGAUCGUAAAGCUCUGUUGUUAAGGAAGAACGAGUGUGAGAAUGGAAAGUUCAUACUGUGACGGUACUUAACCAGAAAGGGACGGCUAACUACGUGCCAGCAGCCGCGGUAAUACGCAGGUCCCGAGCGUUGUCCGGAUUUAUUGGGCGUAAAGCGAGCGCAGGCGGUUAGAUAAGUCUGAAGUUAAAGGCAGUGGCUCAACCAUUGUAGGCUUUGGAAACUGUUUAACUUGAGUGCAGAAGGGGAGAGUGGAAUUCCAUGUGUAGCGGUGAAAUGCGUAGAUAUAUGGAGGAACACCGGUGGCGAAAGCGGCUCUCUGGUCUGUAACUGACGCUGAGGCUCGAAAGCGUGGGGAGCGAACAGG